Molecule: small nucleolar RNA, 103 nt
Organism: Cebus imitator (Panamanian white-faced capuchin)
Lineage: Eukaryota; Metazoa; Chordata; Mammalia; Primates; Cebidae
Product: small nucleolar RNA U13
Exons: 1
Source: RefSeq, a predicted model, not a curated record
ACCCCUUUGUAGUUCACAAGCAUGAUGAUUGGAUGCUCAAGCCCAUAUGUGAGGCGCGCCUCGCUCAAACCUUGUUACAGCGUCGGCACAGCACCAUCUGACG